UCCACGCCCUAAACGAUGAACACUAGUCGUCGCUCUGCUAGUCAGGGCGGUGAUGCACUUAACAGAUUAAGUGUUCCGCCUGGGGAGUACGGUCGCAAGAUUAAAAACUCAAAGGAAUAGACGGGGACCCGCACAAGUGGUGGAGCAUGUGGUUUAAUUCGAAAAUACGCGAAGAACCUUACCUAGCCUUGACAUUGAUAGAACGGACCAGAGAUGGACCGGUGCC
RNAcentral lists this ribosomal RNA (226 nucleotides) under uncultured bacterium. RNAcentral's name for it is "partial 16S ribosomal RNA". It matches the Rfam family "Bacterial small subunit ribosomal RNA", at positions 794 to 1018 of the family's 1533-position model. The record is from RNAcentral.